RNAcentral lists this long non-coding RNA (250 nucleotides) under Lathyrus oleraceus (garden pea). RNAcentral's name for it is "Pisum sativum (pea) long non-coding RNA (PSAT_LNC004913)". Lineage: Eukaryota; Viridiplantae; Streptophyta; Magnoliopsida; Fabales; Fabaceae. The record is from RNAcentral.
GGGGACGGUCCCCAGAGACCUCAAAGCAAAAAUGACGUCCAACUCGUCCACACCAUCGAUACGAUGAAAUAAAAUCAUGAAGGACUAUAUGAUAAAAUAAAAUCAUAAAAGACUUUAGGAUGAAAUAAAAUUAUGAAAGACUGUAUGAUGACAUAAAAUUAUAAAAGACUAUACGAUGAAAUAAAAUCAUCGAUAGUUGCGUGAAACCAUAAAGGACUAUGCGGAGAAAUAAAGUCAUGCAAAGUCAUAC